AAAAAGACAAACCUUAGGGUUUCGUAUCCAACUUUGACUGUCCGUUUUAUAUGAAAAUUUGAUAAAACAUGAUUAAUAUUUUAUGCAUGACUUAUCUUUUUAAUUUUUUUCAUAAUUUUUUUAAAUAAGACGGACGGUUAUAUUGAAUAUAGAAACAUGGUUUGUCUUUUU
This is a microRNA precursor of Oryza sativa Indica Group (long-grained rice), 171 nucleotides long. It matches the Rfam family "MIR812 microRNA precursor family". The record is from Rfam. Lineage: Eukaryota; Viridiplantae; Streptophyta; Magnoliopsida; Poales; Poaceae.